RNAcentral lists this ribosomal RNA (492 nucleotides) under uncultured bacterium. Its description in RNAcentral is "partial 16S ribosomal RNA". It matches the Rfam family "Bacterial small subunit ribosomal RNA", at positions 30 to 507 of the family's 1533-position model. The record is from RNAcentral.
AGUGAACGCUGGCGGAAGGCCUAACACAUGCAAGUCGAACGGCAGCACGGGGGCAGCUCGGGCGGCCGGGGGCGGACGGGCGGGCGAUACAGGAGAACGUGGGCAUCUGCGGUGUAGUACGGAGCGACGGAUACGCACUUACCCCAAUCGAUCAGAGGAUCAACGCGGGGAAGCUUCGGACCUCCCGCCCUCGCGCCAGCCGAUGACAGGAUGGCGGAUUAGUUAGUUGGGGGGGUAAAGGCCCACCAAGCCGACGAUCCGUAGCUGGUCUGAGAGGAUGAUCAGCCACACUGGGACUGAGACACGGACCAGACUCCUACGGGAGGCAGCAGUGGGGAAUUUUGGACAAUGGGCGCAAGCCUGAUCCAGCCAUACCGCGUGCGGGACGAAGGCCUUCGGGUUGUAAAAUGCUUUUGUUAGGAAAGAAAAGGAUCUGGUUAAUACCUGGGGGUUAUGACGGUACCGUAAGAAUAAGCACCGGCUAACUACGUG